This 106-nucleotide ribosomal RNA is filed under the name Pogona vitticeps (central bearded dragon). The record is from RNAcentral. Lineage: Eukaryota; Metazoa; Chordata; Lepidosauria; Squamata; Agamidae.
CUCAUGCCACCAUGAACAGACCAAUCUUGUCUAGUUUUGGAAUCUAAGUAAAGUCAGACCUGGUUAGUACGCUGAUGAGAGAUCAGCAAGAAAUACCAGGUAGAGU